Molecule: ribosomal RNA, 482 nt
Filed under: uncultured bacterium
Lineage: Bacteria
Description: partial 16S ribosomal RNA
Rfam family: Bacterial small subunit ribosomal RNA
Source: RNAcentral
AUUGAACGCCGGCGGCAAGCCUUACACAUGCAAGUCGAACGGUAACAGGUCUUCGGAUGCUGACGAGUGGCGAACGGGUGAGUAAUACAUCGGAACGUGCCCGAUCGUGGGGGAUAACGAAGCGAAAGCUUUGCUAAUACCGCAUAAGAUCUACGGAUGAAAGCAGGGGACCGCAAGGCCUUGCGCGAACGGAGCGGCCGAUGGCAGAUUAGGUAGUUGGUGGGAUAAAAGCUUACCAAGCCGACGAUCUGUAGCUGGUCUGAGAGGACGACCAGCCACACUGGGACUGAGACACGGCCCAGACUCCUACGGGAGGCAGCAGUGGGGAAUUUUGGACAAUGGGCGAAAGCCUGAUCCAGCCAUGCCGCGUGCAGGAUGAAGGCCUUCGGGUUGUAAACUGCUUUUGUACGGAACGAAAAGACUCUGGUUAAUACCUGGGGUCCAUGACGGUACCGUAAGAAUAAGCACCGGCUAACUACGUG